This 329-nucleotide long non-coding RNA is filed under the name Ricinus communis (castor bean). Its description in RNAcentral is "long non-coding RNA (RCOM_LNC002482)". The record is from RNAcentral. Lineage: Eukaryota; Viridiplantae; Streptophyta; Magnoliopsida; Malpighiales; Euphorbiaceae.
CGGGAUUAGAAGCAUAUUUACAUAAAAAGAUUUAAAACUCAUUUUAAACUGCAUCAUAUUUCUGAUAAACAAGCAUUGUUCAUUUUAUGCGCAGUAGUAAGUCCCGACAGGUAUAGGGCUGUAAAUCUGAGAGCUGUGGUUCAUGUUUGUUUAGAAAGUUAUUUUGGUUUAUUUUAAAAUGAAUUUAGAACCAUUUUUCUGUAGAUCUUCUUCUUUCUCAAAUUCUUCUGCCUCUGAAUCAUCGAGGUACAAAGGUCUAGUAAAUAGUGAAGAAAUCACUAUUUACCAAAAUAGGACAAAAAUCAGAAACAGAUCAGAAGAUCAACAAG